CCGCCUGCCCUGUGACUAUAUGUUUAACGGCCGCGGUAUCUUAACCGUGCGAAGGUAGCGUAAUCACUUGUCUUUUAAAUGAAGACCUGUAUGAAUGGCAUCACGAGGGCUUAGCUGUCUCCCUUCUCCAGUCAAUGAAAUUGACCUCCCCGUGCAGAGGCGGGGAUGUUUCUAUAAGACGAGAAGACCCUGUGGAGCUUUAGACCUAAAGUAAACCACGUUUAAUGUACUAAAAUUAAAAGCAUAAACUUAGUGGACAUUUAUUUAAGUGUCUUUGGUUGGGGCGACCGCGGAGUAAAACAUAACCUCCAUGUGGACGGGGAUACUAUCCCUAAAACUCAGAGCCUCCACUCGAAGCAACAGAAAUUCUGACCUUACUGAUCCGGUACAACCGAUUAACGAACCCAGUUACCCCAGGGAUAACAGCGCAAUCCCCUCUCAGAGCUCAUAUCGACGAGGGGGUUUACGACCUCGAUGUUGGAUCAGGACAUCCUAGUGGUGCAGCCGCUAUUG
Molecule: ribosomal RNA, 513 nt
Filed under: Merluccius bilinearis (silver hake)
Lineage: Eukaryota; Metazoa; Chordata; Actinopteri; Gadiformes; Merlucciidae
Description: partial 16S ribosomal RNA
Rfam family: Bacterial large subunit ribosomal RNA
Source: RNAcentral